UACGUAGGGUGCGAGCGUUAAUCGGAAUUACUGGGCGUAAAGCGUGCGCAGGCGGGUGUACAAGGCAGGUGUGAAAUCCCCGGGCUUAACCUGGGAACUGCACUUGUGACUGUACGACUGGAGUACGGCAGAGGGGGAUGGAAUUCCGCGUGUAGCAGUGAAAUGCGUAGAUAUGCGGAGGAACACCGAUGGCGAAGGCAAUCCCCUGGGCCUGUACUGACGCUGAGGAGCGAAAGCGUGGGGAGCAAACAGG
RNAcentral lists this ribosomal RNA (253 nucleotides) under uncultured bacterium. RNAcentral describes it as "partial 16S ribosomal RNA". It matches the Rfam family "Bacterial small subunit ribosomal RNA", at positions 524 to 776 of the family's 1533-position model. The record is from RNAcentral.